AUGGUCGGCGCAACCAUGGCCACCGCCACCGUCACGGCCGCGUCGCCGCUCCGCGGCAGGGUCACCGGGCGUCCACGCCGCGUCCGCCCGCGUUGCGCGGCCGCGAGCGGCGCGACCGAGACUCCCGCGGCGCCCGGUGUGCGGCUGUCCGCGGACUGCGUCAUUGUGGGCGCCGGCAUCAGCGGCCUCUGCACCGCGCAGGCGCUGGCCACCCGAUACGGCGUCGGCGACCUGCUCAUCACGGAGGCCCGCGACCGCCCGGGCGGCAACAUCACCACCGUCGAGCGCCCCGACGAGGGGUACCUGUGGGAGGAGGGGCCCAACAGCUUCCAGCCCUCCGACCCGGUGCUCACCAUGGCCGUGGACAGCGGGCUCAAGGAUGACUUGGUGUUCGGGGACCCCAACGCGCCCCGGUUCGUGCUGUGGGAGGGGAAGCUGAGGCCGGUGCCGUCCAAGCCAGGCGACCUGCCUUUCUUCAGCCUCAUGAGCAUUCCCGGGAAGCUCAGGGCCGGCCUUGGCGCCCUCGGCAUUCGCCCACCUCCUCCAGGGCGCGAGGAGUCGGUGGAGGAGUUUGUGCGCCGCAACCUCGGCGCCGAGGUCUUUGAGCGCCUCAUCGAGCCUUUCUGCUCAGGUGUAUAUGCUGGUGAUCCUUCGAAGCUCAGUAUGAAGGCUGCAUUUGGGAAGGUCUGGAGGUUGGAGGAGAUUGGAGGUAGUAUUAUUGGUGGAACCAUCAAGGCAAUUCAGGAUAAAGGGAAGAACCCCAAACCGCCAAGGGAUCCCCGACUUCCGGCACCAAAGGGACAGACGGUGGCAUCUUUCAGGAAGGGUCUAGCCAUGCUCCCGAAUGCUAUCGCAUCUAGGUUGGGUAGUAAAGUCAAGCUGUCAUGGAAGCUUACGAGCAUUACAAAGGCGGACAACCAAGGAUAUGUAUUAGGUUAUGAAACACCAGAGGGACUUGUUUCAGUGCAGGCUAAAAGUGUUAUCAUGACCAUCCCGUCAUAUGUUGCUAGUGAUAUCUUGCGCCCACUUUCAAUUGAUGCAGCAGAUGCACUCUCAAAAUUCUAUUAUCCGCCAGUUGCUGCUGUAACUGUUUCAUAUCCAAAAGAAGCUAUUAGAAAAGAAUGCUUAAUUGAUGGGGAGCUCCAGGGUUUCGGCCAGUUGCAUCCACGUAGCCAAGGAGUCGAGACUUUAGGGACAAUAUAUAGCUCUUCUCUCUUUCCUAAUCGUGCUCCUGCUGGAAGAGUGUUACUUCUGAACUAUAUCGGGGGUUCUACAAAUACAGGGAUCGUCUCCAAGACUGAGAGCGAUUUAGUAGAAGCCGUGGAUAGUGACCUCAGAAAAAUGUUGAUAAAUCCUAGAGCAGCAGACCCUUUAGCAUUAGGGGUUCGAGUGUGGCCACAAGCAAUACCACAGUUUUUGAUUGGGCACCUUGAUCGCCUUGCUGCUGCAAAAUCUGCACUGGGCCGAGGCGGCUAUGACGGGUUGUUCCUAGGAGGAAACUACGUCGCAGGAGUUGCCUUGGGCCGAUGCAUCGAGGGUGCGUACGAGAGUGCCUCACAAGUAUCUGACUUCUUGACCAAGUAUGCCUACAAGUGA
This 1596-nucleotide ribosomal RNA is filed under the name Triticum aestivum (bread wheat). RNAcentral describes it as "partial small subunit ribosomal RNA". Lineage: Eukaryota; Viridiplantae; Streptophyta; Magnoliopsida; Poales; Poaceae. The record is from RNAcentral.